RNAcentral lists this ribosomal RNA (1253 nucleotides) under uncultured bacterium. Its description in RNAcentral is "partial 16S ribosomal RNA". It matches the Rfam family "Bacterial small subunit ribosomal RNA", at positions 87 to 1328 of the family's 1533-position model. The record is from RNAcentral.
CUGGAUGAGUUGCGAACGGGUGAGUAACGCGUAGGUAACCUGCCUGGUAGCGGGGGAUAACUAUUGGAAACGAUAGCUAAUACCGCAUAACAGUAGAUGUUGCAUGACAUUUGCUUAAAAGGUGCAAUUGCAUCACUACCAGAUGGACCUGCGUUGUAUUAGCUAGUUGGUGGGGUAACGGCUCACCAAGGCGACGAUACAUAGCCGACCUGAGAGGGUGAUCGGCCACACUGGGACUGAGACACGGCCCAGACUCCUACGGGAGGCAGCAGUAGGGAAUCUUCGGCAAUGGACGGAAGUCUGACCGAGCAACGCCGCGUGAGUGAAGAAGGUUUUCGGAUCGUAAAGCUCUGUUGUAAGAGAAGAACGAGUGUGAGAGUGGAAAGUUCACACUGUGACGGUAUCUUACCAGAAAGGGACGGCUAACUACGUGCCAGCAGCCGCGGUAAUACGUAGGUCCCGAGCGUUGUCCGGAUUUAUUGGGCGUAAAGCGAGCGCAGGCGGUUAGAUAAGUCUGAAGUUAAAGGCUGUGGCUUAACCAUAGUACGCUUUGGAAACUGUUUAACUUGAGUGCAAGAGGGGAGAGUGGAAUUCCAUGUGUAGCGGUGAAAUGCGUAGAGAUCUGGAGGAAUACCGAUGGCGAAGGCAGCCAUCUGGCCUAAUACUGACGCUGAGGUACGAAAGCAUGGGGAGCAAACAGGAUUAGAUACCCUGGUAGUCCAUGCCGUAAACGAUGUCUACUAGCCGUUGGGGCCUUUGAGGCUUUAGUGGCGCAGCUAACGCGAUAAGUAGACCGCCUGGGGAGUACGGUCGCAAGACUAAAACUCAAAUGAAUUGACGGGGGCCCGCACAAGCGGUGGAGCAUGUGGUUUAAUUCGAUGCAACGCGAAGAACCUUACCUGGUCUUGACAUAGUAAGAACUUUCCAGAGAUGGAUUGGUGCCUUCGGGAACUUACAUACAGGUGCUGCAUGGCUGUCGUCAGCUCGUGUCGUGAGAUGUUGGGUUAAGUCCCGCAACGAGCGCAACCCUUUUCCUUAUUUGCCAGCGGGUUAAGCCGGGAACUUUAAGGAUACUGCCAGUGACAAACUGGAGGAAGGCGGGGACGACGUCAAGUCAUCAUGGCCCUUACGACCAGGGCUACACACGUGCUACAAUGGUCGGUACAAAGGGUUGCUACCUAGCGAUAGGAUGCUAAUCUCAAAAAGCCGAUCGUAGUCCGGAUUGGAGUCUGCAACUCGACUCCAUGAAGUCG